This 77-nucleotide small RNA is filed under the name Dyella sp. AD56. Its description in RNAcentral is "Xanthomonas sRNA sX9". It matches the Rfam family "Xanthomonas sRNA sX9". The record is from Rfam by way of RNAcentral. Lineage: Bacteria; Pseudomonadati; Pseudomonadota; Gammaproteobacteria; Lysobacterales; Rhodanobacteraceae.
AUGUACAUACAAGUACACUCCGGUUCCUGCGCGCCGCCCACGCCCACCUGCCGGCCGCUCGCUACGUUUUGUUAGCG